GCCUCGGCGGGGCUCGCGCUCGGUGGAGGCGCCAAGAUGGCGGCGGGUCGCUGCUCCGGCUUCGCGUGGGGCGCCGGCCCACAGUCCAGCGCCCAGCCUCCGAUGGCUUUUCCCCUCCCGACCGCUGGAGCCAGCCUUGCCUCGGGCCCCGCUGCUGGAAUGGGUCCCACUAUGACCCCACCUUUCCCUGCAGCCACCCAGCCACCCGGGCCUGUCACCCCAGCGGGAUAUGGCGGGUACCAGCUCCACUCUAGCCAGCCCCAGGAGCCCGCCCUGGCACCCACCAUGGCCUCCUCCUACCAGGACAGUUCCCUCUACAGACCGUCGGCAGGUGCCAGUAGCUACAGUAGCUACGAGGACGGACAGUGUCACUUACCUGCCUCCAGCCAGCCUCAGCUCCCAGCCACUGCCACGCUCUGCCAGCCAGGGACUAAAGGAACUUCCAUCCAGCCCAGCGGAGGGGACAGCCAAGCCCUACAACCAGCGGCCACGGCCAAGGCAGGGCAGCCACCCGGCACCCUGGCCUCGAGCUGCAUGGAGAACUACACCUACCCGCUGGUGACCAGCACUCUGCCAGAGGCCUCUGUCUCUGCCCUGCCUUCCUACACCCCGACCUCCUACAGCCCCACCUCUGCCCCGGACAUGGGACCAAGCUACCUGGGCUACGAAGCAGCGGUGCACUCGGCGGCUGGUCCUCACUGCCCCCCACUGCCGCCCCUCCCGUUCCCGGAGCCCCCGGGCUCCCUGUGGGGCGGCUCAGGGAGCAGUCCCGGUGCCAGUUCUGCCGGCAGCUUCUCUGGGAAGCUACUGGCUCCCCCCAAACUGCCGAAACCUAAGGGCGGCCCCAGGGAGCCCCCGCUUCACUACUGUGACAUCUGCAAGAUCAGCUGCGCUGGUCCCCAGACUUACCGCGAGCACCUGGAGGGACAGAAGCACAAAAAGAGAGAGGCGGCCCAGAAGGCGGGCACGCAGCCCAAUGGCAGCCCGUGUGGGGUGCAGGCACAGCUGCGCUGCAGCCUGUGUGCCGUGUCAUGCACGGGGGCAGAAGCCUACGCCGCUCACAUCCGGGGGGCCAGGCACCAGAAGGUCCUCAAGCUGCACACUCAGCUGGGGAAGCCCAUCCCUGCCAUAGAACCAGUGCCAGGGGACUCCAGCUCGGCCCAGGCCACCUGUACCAGCAAGCCAGCCCCUCUCACCACGGAGAAUCUCUCCACGGCCUCUGCCAAGCCCACAGCCCCUGCUGGCCCCAGCAUGUGCACCCUGAGCAAGCCAGCACUAGCCAAGAGACCAGCUUUGAAGGCCACGUGUGUGGGGCCUUCCAAGCCGCAGGCAGCAGGCAGCAGACCCCCAGAGGGCAAGCGGGCACACCCCAUACCAGACAGGCCUAGAGAUCCGCCCACCCGAGGAGGCUCUGCAGAAGCUUCUGGAAGCUGUGAGGCGCAGCCAGUGGGCCCAGGCUACGUGGAAGAGGUGUGCAAUGAGGAAGGCAAGGUGAUCCGGUUCCACUGCAGGCUGUGUGAGUGCAGUUUUGGCGACCCCACGGCCAGGGACACGCAUGUGCGGGGACGGCGACAUCGGCUGCAGUACAAGAAAAAAGUGAACCCUGACCUUCCGAUUGCACUGAAGCCCAGCCACAGAACCCAGAAGCUCCUGGAGGCCAGGCUGAGGAAGCAGAGGCAGCUGACCAAGAAGCGGCUUGAGGAGAUGCGACGCUGGCGCCACGAGCUGUGCAGGAGACGCCUGGAGGAGGGGCCCCAGGCCCAGGAUGAGCACCCCGGACCCCCAUCACCUGACCAGCACCCUCCUUCCCUCAAGAGCAGGCCAGGGGCGCCUGCCGGCUCAGCUCUGUCCACGUGGCGGGAGACCAGCGAUGACCGGCACGUCCUGUGUAAGCACGCCGCCAUCUACCCCACGGAGGAGGAGCUCCUGGCCGUCCAGAAGGCCGUCUCCCACUCAGAGCGUGCCCUCAAGCUGGUGUCUGACACUCUGGCCGAGGACAGCUCCGGGAGCCCGGAGCACGCGGGUGGUGAGCACAGCGGCGGCUCCUCCUCAGCUCGGGUCCUGAAGGGCGUGAUGCGGGUCGGCCUCCUGGCAAAGGGCCUCCUCCUGCGGGGAGACAGGACGGUGCAGCUGACCCUGCUCUGCUCGCAGAAGCCCACUCGCGCCUUGCUGCGGAGAAUCUCGGAGCAGCUGCCCCGCCAGCUCCCGAUGGUGACAGAAGAUAAGUAUGAGGUCUCCUCUGACUCUGAAGACAGCGUCAUCAUUUCCUCCUGUGAGGAGCCCAGGAUGAAGGUCAUUGUGUGUGUCACCUCGCCCCUGAUGCGGGAGGACUCCUCUGUGGACCAAGAAGGAGUGCAGGUGCCUCAGCCCAACCCCGACGACAUCCUGAGCCCAGAGAAGUGCCUGCAGUCACUGGCCGCCCUCCGCCAUGCCAAGUGGUUCCAGGCUCGAGCCAGCGGCCUGCAGUCGUGUGUGAUCGUCCUCAGGGUCCUUCGUGACCUCUGCCAGCGUGUGCCCACGUGGGGCGCCCUGCCAGACUGGGCCCUGGAGCUGCUGGUGGAGAAGGCUCUGAGCAGCGCAUGUGGGCGCCUGAACCCUGGGGACGGCUUGAGGCGUGUCCUGGAGUGCGUGGCCUCGGGGACACUCCUGCCAGAUGGGCCUGGGCUCCAGGAUCCCUGCGAGAGAGACCAGAGGGACACCCUCGAGUCCAUGACCCCCCAGCAGCGCGAGGACCUCACGGCCACUGCCCAGUUGUUCAACACAGUGUUUAUCGAACUACAGUCACUCGCGUGGCUUCCCCAUGGCUCCCACCAAGAGUGUUGAAAUGUGUUCAAUAUUCAAUCAGCAAGCACUCACCGCCUUCCGUGAGGGGACCCAAAGACGACCCAGACCCUGUAACUCGUGCAGGGAGGGUGACUCCGGGCUCUAGUGUCAGUGUGGCCCUUGGACAUAUUAGCUGUGGGGUGUCACCUCCCCGAGCCUCUAUAAAGCUGAAUUUCAACUACUAGCACCCAGGUUGCAGAGCUGGGGGGAGAACUCAGUGAUAAAAUGUAUUUUUUCACACCUGCUGCCCAGAAAGGGUCAGCCUCAGAGUUAUAGGUGUGGCAGAGGGCAAGUGUGAAGGUGGAAACCAGCAAUCGAGAUGAAAGUCACAAAGUCACACAUGGAACAGUGGCCCCUUCAUCUUUAGAACACCAGCCGCGGGGCUGUGAGAAAGACCCUGCAGAUGUUGCUGGUGUUUGGGACUCGCCUACAGUGGCUAGUGCCUCAGACUCAAACCAGAGUGAAGCCACCCCAACGGCAAGGGGCCCCCCUGUCAGCUCUGCAGCACAUGCCUCAAAAAUUCUAGCAGCUAGUGAGAGACUAAAACCCAAAAGGAGAAGAAAAAAGUAACUUGUUGGAGGAAAGAGACAAUGAGUUGCAGAGAAACCCUCGAGUAGGUUAAUCCUCAGGUCUCAGGAGACACAGCGAUCAGGAAGCAGCUUUUGGAAAAAGAACACCGAGGGGUGCCUGGCUGGUUCAGUCGGGGGAGCAUGCGACUCUUGAUCUCAGGAGAGUGGGUUGAAGCCCUGCGUUGGGUGUAGAGAUGUCCUAAAAAUCUUUAAGAAAAAGAACAUUCAAUGGACAAGAAACAGCCCUUGGAAAUUAAAAACCUGAUAGUCAAGAUGGAAAUGUUGACAGGCUUGGAAGAAAAAGUAGAAUGAGGAGACAAAAUGAAAAAAAGGUAGGCAAGAAAAUUAGAAGAUCAACCCAGGAAGGCCAACACAUGUCAAAGAAGAGUUCCACAGAGGAGACACCAAGGUCGAAGAUAUCACCAGUGAUGUCAUUCUAGGAAGUUUGCGGGGAAUGGAAGACAUGAUACAGCCCCACUAAAUAUCCAGCACCACAGGCGAAGAAAAGACCCACACCAAACCCACACUUUGAAAGUGCAGGAUGAGGAGAAUAAGAAGAUUCUACAAGCUUCCCCAAGAGAGAGAAGACAACAUGAUGAGCAGACAAUGAGGAAAGAGGAUUGGCUUCAGGCUGUUCAACUGCCCAAGACUGGAAGCUGGAAGACACAAGGCAAAGGAAAUUAGCCCCCACCCAGCACAGCGUCCUCAGCCAAACCACCAUCACAGAAGAGUACGGAGAGAGAAUACCUUCUCUGGAAAUGCCUAGAGGGCUCACAUUCCCAAAACAAGGGCACAGACCAAGAAACAGGGAGACCCGGACCCAAGAAACAGGAGCUACAUCCCAGAAAUACCCACGUGCCAAAAAAGAAGGGCCAGGGGUACAGCUGGGCUGCAGCUGGCCCUGAGUGGAGAAGUUUCUUCCAUCAGAAUGGCUGGAGGUACAGAGGCCACAGCAAUGAAUGACACAGUCCAAAAUCCCUGCCCUCGGGGGAGCUGAUGUUCGAGAGAGGAUGCGGCCAGCAACAAGAAAAACAAACAGCAUAUAUGGUCAGUUAGACUACGGGAGCUCUGCAGAGCUCCAAGGGGCGGGGACGUGAAGUGUCAGCACGUUGCAAUAUUCUGUAAGGUAUGUCUGGGGAAGUGCCCCGGCAGAAGGCACAGCUGAGGCAAAGGCCCUGGGGUGGGAACAGGGCUUUGAGGAAGCUUCUUUGCCUCCCCCUGCCCUGCCCUGCCCUGCCACGCUGUAAAGACUACAUUUCCCAGCUUCCCCUGCUACUGAUUUUGACCUCGUGGCUAAGUUCCAUCCAGUGGAAUGAAGCAAAGGUGUCACCGUGAAUCUUCCAGGAAGAGGCUUUAUGUAUUUAUUUAUUUUUUUAAAUUUUUAUGUUUUAAAGAUUUUCAUGAGAGACACAGAGAGAGAGAGGCAGAGACACAGGCAGAGGGAGAAGCAGGAACCGGAUGCAGGACUCGAUCCCAGGACGCCGGGAUCACAACCUGAGCCAAAGGCAGACGCUCAACCACUCACACACACACACACCCUGCCCCGGGCAUCCCCAGGAAGAGGCCUUAAGGAGAAGAGGUGAACCUUUCCCCCCCUAGUUUCCUGCUUCCUGUUGGCUGGAAUGCACAUGGGAGGGCUGGAGCUUGAGCAGCCCUCUUAGCGCAAGAGAUGGAAGUUCGCGUGCUAUGAAAGGCAGAGCAGCAAGACGGCAGGAGCCCCGGUUCCUGACAUUGCCCAGGAGCACACCCCUCAGAGAUUUACCUUCUGUCUAGUUCAAGCCUCUCGCACUUGGGGGUCCUCCGUCCGUAACUGACCGAUGCACUAUGUGAAGGGCAGGUCACAUGACCCCCCCUGUUCAUUGCCUACGUUGACCUUCAUCCGUAUUAGUAAAGAAGAAGAAACGAGCUCUGCCUUUGAGAAGCUUACAGCCCCCCUGAGUGGAGUCCGCAGGCCUGGUGUGUAGCCCCGGCCAGCUGCGUGAGCAGGGACUAGUCGCUUUGCCUCUCUGGAACUCAGCUGCUCCAAUUCCAGAAGGAGGGGAUCGGCCCCCCCAACUCCCCACCCAAAUCGCAACAGCCCAAACAGGAGAAAGGAUUCAGCCCCUGCCGUCUUGCUGAUGUAGGGGAGACGUGAGGGUUCGAAGCUGACGGCCCACAAAGAAUCCUUGAGACGUCUUUGAUGCAAGAAGGUGGAUUUAUUAAAGUGCGAGGCCCGGGGCCCGUGGGCAGAAAGAGCUGCCCAUUAUGGGGUCAGGAGGAUGGCCCAUGAUACACUCUCAAGCUGAGAGCGGGUUAGGGAGAGUGUAAGCCUCCCAGGUAUUUUGGGAACAAGGUUUCCCGGAUCCCGAGGGGGCUAGCUAUUGUUGGGAAAGAUCAUUUAUUAUUAUUUAGCAAAAACUCAGUCAUGAUACCCUUCAGAUAGACGUCGGGGGGGGGUCAUAUGCUUGGUGGAUGAUCGCUCGGAGGGUGAUAUCUUGGGGGGUAAAGAUAAAGGAAGUUUCCAAAGGGAUUUUUUUUUUAAAUAG
RNA transcript from Canis lupus familiaris (dog), 5917 nucleotides. It is a transcript of the gene named zinc finger RNA binding protein 2, with no coding region annotated. The transcript is spliced from 21 exons. NCBI's taxonomy places the organism in Eukaryota, Metazoa, Chordata, Mammalia, Carnivora, Canidae. The record is from RefSeq and is a predicted model, not a curated record.